Molecule: ribosomal RNA, 376 nt
Filed under: uncultured bacterium
Lineage: Bacteria
Description: bacterial SSU rRNA
Rfam family: Bacterial small subunit ribosomal RNA
Source: RNAcentral
UACGUAGGGGGCGAGCGUUGUCCGAAGUCACUGGGCGUAAAGCGCGCGUAGGCGGUCUUUUAAGUUGGAUGUGAAAUCCUGCGGCCCAACCGCAGAACUGCAUCCAAAACUGGGAGACUUGAGGAUGGAAGAGGGCAGUGGAAUUCCUGGUGUAGCGGUGAAAUGCGUAGAUAUCAGGAGGAACACCCGUGGCGAAGGCGGCUGCCUGGUCCAUAUCUGACGCUGAGGUGCGAAAGCCAGGGGAGCGAACGGGAUUAGAUACCCCGGUAGUCCUGGCCGUAAACGAUGGAUACUAGGUGUAAGUGGUAUCGACCCCACUUGUGCCGUAGCUAACGCAUUAAGUAUCCCGCCUGGGGAGUACGGCCGCAAGGUUGAA